Molecule: ribosomal RNA, 209 nt
Filed under: uncultured bacterium
Lineage: Bacteria
Description: partial 16S ribosomal RNA
Rfam family: Bacterial small subunit ribosomal RNA
Source: RNAcentral
CGCGUAGGUGGUUUGUUAAGUUGGAUGUGAAAGCCCCGGGCUCAACCUGGGAACUGCAUCCAAAACUGGCAAGCUAGAGUACGGUAGAGGGUGGUGGAAUUUCCUGUGUAGCGGUGAAAUGCGUAGAUAUAGGAAGGAACACCAGUGGCGAAGGCGACCACCUGGACUGAUACUGACACUGAGGUGCGAAAGCGGUGGGGAAGCAAACA